UUUGCAUCUAUAAAAAAGAGUCAGUGCUGAACAGUGUGGAUUUGUGAUAGCAAGGAAAGAGAAAUAAAAUGCAGGCGAGUAAUAAGAAUAUAAAUAUCACUAUGUAUACAAAGGCUGUGGAGGUAUCCCAGCAACUGCAGGAUGGAGAGAAGUUUAUCAAGUGGGACGAGGAUUCUGGAAUGGCAACGCCAGUGACUUUGAAAGUUGAUAAAUAUGGUUUUUACUUACAUUGGGUGGAUCAAAAUAAUGAAAUGGAUAUGCUGGACAUAGCAAUUAUAAGAGAUACACGAACAGGAAAAUAUGCAAAAAUACCAAAGGAUCCAAAAUUACAAUCUUUAGUAACAAUGGGUUCUCAAGAUUCCUUGGAAGACAAAACUUUAACAAUUUGUUAUGGCUCUGACUUUGUCAAUUUAAAUUUUAUUAAUUUUUGCACAACACGUGCAGAAAUAGCACAACAUUGGACAGAACAGCUUUUUCAACUAGCAUAUAAUUUGAUUCAACUAAAUACUAGCACAACUAUGUUUUUACUCAAAGCGCACACCAAACUGACACUUACAGCUGAUAAAUCAGAAAAAAUACCAGUAAAGAAUAUAAUAAAAAUGUUUACGCAAAACAAAGAAGAUCGCAAGCGUGUUGAAAAAGCACUCGAUAUUUCUGGCUUUCCAUCUGGCAAAAGCGACGUUAUACCAUUGUCAAAAUUCCAAUUUGAAGAUUUUUUCAACUUUUACAAAUCUCUCACUCAGAGAUCAGAUGUAGAAAAAGUAUUUGAAGGGAUUGUUGGCAAUAGCAAACGCAGAUUGAUGUCUGUUGCACAAUUCGUGGAUUUCUUGAACAAGACACAGAGAGAUCCACGUCUCAAUGAGAUACUAUAUCCAUAUGCAAAUGAAGCGAGGGCAAAAGAUAUUAUAAAUCAGUAUGAACCUAACAAAUGUAAUGCAAAUAAAGGCCAACUCAGUUUUGAUGGAUUUUUGAGAUAUCUCAUGAGUGAGGACAAUCCGAUUGUUGCUAUCUCUAAAUUUGAAUUGUCCGACGAUAUGGAUCAAUCGCUGGCACAUUAUUUCAUAAAUUCUAGUCACAACACAUACUUAACAGGGCAUCAACUCACUGGAAGGAGCUCUGUGGAAAUUUACCGUCAAUGUCUUUUAGCUGGUUGCCGAUGCGUCGAACUAGACUUUUGGAAUGGCAAGUUCGAUGAACCUGUUAUUGUUCACGGAUAUACAUUUGUACCUGAAAUAAAUGCUCGAGAUGUGAUAGAGGCAAUUGCUGAGAGCGCUUUUAAAACUUCUGAAUAUCCGGUCAUUCUCAGUUUCGAAAACCAUUGUAAUCCAAGGCAGCAAGCCAAAAUCGCUCAGUACUGUAGAGAACUUUUCGGGGAAAUGUUACUUGAUGCACCACUCGAAUCGCACAAGUUAGAGCCAGGUCAAGAGCUCCCACCGCCAUCAUUACUAAAGCGCAAAAUAAUAAUAAAAAAUAAGAAAAAACAUCACCAUCAUCAUAAAAAACAUCAGAAAAAGCAAUUAAAUACUGCUAAAGAUACUCCCGAGAAUGAAACAAAUGGGACUGCGAAUCCAUCCGCUGUGGGAGAAAACGGUCCACCGCCGGAUAUAAUACCUCAAAAUGAAAUGGCUGAUGAUGUUGCACCUGAAAAUGAACAGCAAAUUGGGAAUGGCGAUAUUCCUCAUCCUCCCAUGUUACAACAAAGACAGGGUAGUAAAGAUAGUGCUCAAGAUGAUGAAGACGAUGAAGAUGAAACGAGUACAGAAGAGGAUGAGUCUAAUGUGGAAUUGAGAAUGGGCGACAAAGGAUCUGCACCAGAUAAGCCAUCCGCGGCCAAAGAGACAGAGGCAGGUGCCGAAAUUUCUGCUUUAGUUAAUUACGUGCAGCCUGUACACUUCAACAGCUUUGAAUCGGCUGAAAAAAAGAAUCGUAUGUACGAAAUGUCAUCUUUUGACGAGAAACAAGCUACGACUCUCUUGAAGGAGAAACCACUAGAAUUUGUAAAUUACAACAAACAUCAAUUAUCCAGAGUUUAUCCAGCAGGAACGCGAUUCGAUUCUAGUAAUUUCAUGCCACAAGUAUUUUGGAAUGCGGGCUGUCAGCUAGUUGCAUUAAAUUAUCAAACACUUGACCUGGCGAUGCAAUUAAAUUUGGGAAUAUUUGAAUACAAUCAACGUUGCGGUUACCUGUUGAAACCGGAAUUUAUGAGAAGAAAAGAUCGGCGAUUAGAUCCUUUCGCCGAAUCUACCGUUGACGGUAUUAUUGCGGGAACUGUUCACAUUCAUGUGAUAUCUGCGCAAUUUUUAACCGACAAAAGAGUAGGCACUUAUGUAGAAGUGGAUAUGUAUGGUUUACCGGCGGAUACCGUAAGAAAAAAAUUCCGCACAAAAAUCGUGCCGAAUAACGGUAUUAAUCCCGUAUAUGAUGAAGAACCAUUCAUAUUUAAAAAGGUAGUUUUGCCGGAACUUGCCUCGAUAAGGAUUGCCGCAUAUGAAGAUUCCGGACGUUUAAUCGGUCACAGGGUACUACCCGUAGUCGGAUUAUGCCCAGGAUAUAGACAUGUAGCACUAAGAAAUGAAUGUGGGCAACCGCUACCAUUAGCAAGUCUAUUUUUAAACGUUAUCGUAAAGGAUUACGUUCCUGAUGGUUUGAGCGAGCUUGCCGAAGCUUUAGCGAAUCCUAUCAAGUAUCAGAGCGAAAUCGAGAAGAGAGAGAAUCAACUGUUAGUUCUUACGGAUUGUUUGGAGGCUCCAGAAGAAAUUGAAGAUAAGUGUAAAGUUAGCGAUGCUCCUAGUUCUGCUAAGCCAGCUGAGGAAGUUGUAAAGGCUAAACGAAUGCAGUCUAUGGGUGAAUUACCAGGUCUUGUACCUCCUUCCAGCAGUUUACAUAGUAGACCAUCUAUUGGUGGCUUAGGUAGUUCGGAUACAGUGGAUGUAGAAGACGACACUCCAAGUCCUGCAGUUCAAGCAGUUGAGACAUCUAUAAAUAAAAGUCCAGUCAAUGCUAGCAAUAUAAGUGACGAAAUAGUGGCUGAAAGUUUAGAGAAACUCAUGGAAAAUAAAUUAGUCAGGGAGAAGAAGAUAGAACUCGAGAAGAAACUUGAAUCUCUAAGGAAAAAGCAUGAGAAAGAAAAAAUGCGAAUGCAAUCGCAAAAAGGUUCGCUCGAUGGCGAGAAGCAUAAAUCGAAAUUCUACAUGAGCAAUAAAUUGGUGAAGCGGCUAUCAAGCAAAAAUAUUAGCUUUUCGAGCGAAGUGGGUUUAAGUACCUUAGCUAUAGCUGAGUCUUCUGAGUACUCAGAGAACACAGAGAAUCGCGAGGGAAAUGAUGGGGCGUCCAGAGGUUUGCCUAGAAGUCAAAGCGAACGAUUUUUGGCCAUAUGUAAGGUGCAUGUUCAACAGGAACGUGAACUUCAAGAAAAAUAUUACGAGAAUCUUUUUACGACUGCCGAAAAAGUGAUGAAAGCAUCGCAGGCCAAUCAAUUGAAAAUGCUUCAAGUACUUUUAGAGAGAGAAACCGCCGAUGUUAAACGAAAACUGCAGGCUACAAGACAAGGCGAGAUCAAACAAUUAGCCAAAGUACAUAAAGAUAAAGCCGAGCUGGAACGCAUAAAACGAGAAGUUGCAAAAUCGACCGUAGAGAAAGCUGUGAACGAAUGCACGCGCUUAACAAAAAUUUUCGAUAAGAAGAGAGCGGAGUUGGAAAGACAACAUGAAGAAGUACGGCAAAGGCUGGAAGAAGAGCGAGCCAAGGUAAAAGCUAAUUUGCUAGCAGAGUAUAGUAGUCGCUAUAGUAAAUACGAAAGUGGUGAGUUACCCUUAUCACCAUCUGGCGGAGCUAGUUUACCAGAAUCACUUAGCGAAAAUACGUAUUGACUCGCGAAACGGAUCAUCUAGCUAUGUGUUAACUAAAGGGGUGACAUCAUUCAUGAUGUUUUACGCCAUUAUAUGCGUCGUUUAAAAUCCAGUUAUGGAACUCGAUAUACGGAACGUCGCGAUUUGUAAUGAGAGGAAGGGAGUGGGAAAGAAGAAAUCGGAUAUUAUAUAUAAAUGCAAUAUUUCUUCAACAUAUAAGAAUAUGAAUUCAUAUAAGAAAAUGAACCAAUAACGACUAAUGAACUGUUUGUAUACAGUGCUUAUCUAUAGCUAUUUGUGGCAAUGAUUUUUGCCAUCCCUUAUUGGAGAUGUCAAUAUGAAGACGUUGAUGUUGUAUCAAGGAAUCGUAUGAUUUAAGGCAACUUGAUGCUACAUAAAGCACAAGUACUAUAUAUAUACAUACUGAACUUUUACCAUUUAAUACUUUGGAGAGAUUAGAUGUCGAAUAAUGGAUUGAGGUAAUUUUCUAAUACUUCAAUGCUGUGUCUUUUACUACAAUGAUCAUUAUUCGAUUGAUGCGUUAAUUGCAUACAUGUUGAUCAAUUUUUUAAUUGAUCGUGUCUGGCUAGGUACAUGGAAACACUAUGUCAUGAUCUCUUUACAAUAAAACGGCUGCUUAUAAUAAUAUGAAAGAAAAAGAGACAACUUUAAUAUGAACAUGAUGAAUAUGAAUUUUGCAUUAUUUGCACACAGUAUUAAGCAGUCUGAGAGAUUCCGAAAUCUAAGUCGCUGACAUGAUACAAUUCGGUUACAUAUUCGUAUGAUCUUAACGAGCAUUAAGACCGCGAUAGAUAAGCGUAUGAGAAGUAUAUAUAUACAUAUAUAUAUAUAUAUAUAUAUAUAUAUAUAUAUAUAAUAAAUAAGAGAAAAAGAAUAUACAACCUUCCUAAGUGCUAACAUUUAAUAUUGUUGUUAUAUGCAUAAGUCAUCGUUAUUUAAUCAACUACAUAUAAAUUAAGUCUAAUCGCGUUCCAAGAUGCUCUGUUUAGAUUGAUCUUCGAUUAUUAAGAAGUCAGAUCUCAGGAGAUUCCAGUCAGAAUAACACGAGAGAUACAUAUACAACUGAGAGGGCGAAAUCUCUUUGGCCUAGAAAAGAAAAAUUCGACAAAUUUGCACGAACGCGCGAGUGAUCUGAUAUAUUUUUGACUGAAAGUACUCCGUAUAUAAACUUUUUUUUUUUGGAGGAGAUGCCCGUACUGUGGCAAAAACCGUGAUAUUUUCUUGCCGAAGGCACGAGAAUGUCUCGAUAUCUCAUUACAAUAGGAUCCGGUUAAUUGAUUAUUCUAUUCUCUACAUAUACAUUUUUUCAUUAAUACUAAUGUCAUAUAAUGUCAUAAUAAUAGAUAUAAAGGUAGAUUCAAUAUUGACUAUGUAUAUUUUUCUCAAGAGAAAGAGAAAAUUAUGAAUUAUUUUUUUUUUAUUUUUACAAAUUGGAUUAAUCUUUUAUAAAAAAUGCAUAAAGUUUAUUUUUUUUUUUUUUUAGUGGAGAGAGUGUUUCCAAUUUGGAAGAGUUAUCUCGCAUAUAUUUAUAUUUAGAGAAAUAGAGAGAUAUUGUUUCUCUUCUUUAUUCAUUUAUAUAUGCGAUAUAAUUAUGAUAGAUUACGUGAGGGGGCGCGCGCAAUCGUACUGUAUUUGCGCAACUACAUUCGCGCAAGUAUAUGGCGAUUUGUUGUGAUUGUUGAAUCGCGCGCGGCGGUAUAAGUACUUUUCUUUUUUAAAAGUUUUCCGCUUUUCUAGCCGGAUUCUACUGUAUGUAGAUCGAUUCUUCGUAUUAUCUUCGUAUCACGAGCAGUCCGGUCGGGCGAACCUCUUUGAGGAAGACAAUCAAAAAUGUUACGAGACGAUAAUGCGCAUCCCGUAUACUUAAAAGAAUGAUGGAUCCUGAAGUAAUAUCCCGUGCACCUCCUUCUGAUGUAAUGAUAUUUGGUUUGCUGUAGAUGUAAAAGGUAUGACAUUUGGUUCUCAUUUUAAAUAGUCAUAAUAUGUCGCGUUUUUUGAGAUAGUAGCUAAUAUAUAUGUACAUAUAUUUCCGGUAAAUUUAGAGAUUCACAUAAACGCAUAUACAUAUAUAUACAUGCGCGCUCGCGCACGGGGAACCAGAGAGAAUGCAGUUACCAUUUCUUAGACGAUGCCAAUUAUCAUGAUAGCAUUUCUUCCGCAAAUGAAAUUACCGAUCGUUCGCGAAGUUAUAGAAUGUUCCGUGGCGAAAGCGACUGAUUUUAUCCGAUCACGGGGAUUGAUGGUAGAGAUAGUUGUAUACCUAACGAUAAUACAGACGCGAUAUUUAAGGCAAUAUAUUUGUAACUCUAUCCAGUAUGUCUGGAACUUAUGUGAGGAAAUCGAUAGCGUUUGUUCGUAUACUGUAUUAAUCGUAUGCGUGUAAGUGUCGAUAUUUUGCGAGAUUGGGCAGAUUGUUGCGUUAAGUACGCAAUCCUUCGCGACAUCAAAAAGAUGGUAAUAUAAUAUAAUAGAGGAAAUUGAUUAAACGAUGUAUAAAUUCUAUUCAGUUUGCGGGAUUUUUAUUUCGUUUAUUAAUAACAUAUGAUCUUCCUUUGCAUAGUGAUACUUAUUUCGUGUUUUCCUUCGAAAAUGUUAAUUUAUUAUAUAUUUUAUUAUAAAUGUGUUUCGUCUUUCUUCGAAAAAAAUCACUUCCUUAUUUUAAUAUAAUAAUUUUGCUUGGCGAAUGUACCCCGCGCGUUUAAUAGAAAAUCUUGAGUUUUAUCUCUCAUAUCGCGAAGCGCAUGAACAUUUAGAAUGUAUAUUUUGAUUAUCUAAACUACAUCUAGUUAGGAAAGAUAUUGAUAUGCAUACGAGAUAAUUGGAAUGUGAGAGAUAAGAGAGUGAACGAGUAGAAUGCCAAUGAUAUUUCCAAUUAUACUUACUCUUCCAAUUAUAUUUUCUCUUAUGUUCCUUAAUAGUAUUUAUUCGAAUUUUAUGUCGAGCUUUAUUAUCUCCGUUAUCUAAUUGAGGAAUUGGAAAUCGUUUGUUCCCUAUUAAUCUGAAUCUGAAAUAUCUAUGGGGUAAAAAUCUGGAUAUUACAAGUGAUUAUGAAACUCACCUUUCUCUUGCUAUUGUCUUUCAUAUUAUUUAAAUUUUUGCUUGAAGUUCAUUCGUUUUUCAAACUACGUACAAUUAUUUAUACUGUUUUAUAUCCAAUUCCUCAAUUACAGUCGUUUCGCGGAUAGUGUGAUCUACCUGUGCAUUUAUGUCUUUCAUUUAGAUCAAAUUUCAAGUUUAAUGUGUGUAUUUUGUCAAAGAUCUUUUUCUGAAUAUUAUAUAUAGAUGGAUUAUUACAUACUUUCUUAAGACAUGUGAUCGACAUCAUAUUCUCUUCCUACAUUCGUGUAACGUACAUAUAUAUAUAUAUAUAUAUAUAUAUAUAUAUAUAUAUAUAUAUAUAUAUAUACGCGUAUAUGUAUGUACACAUUAUACGCGCAUAUAUACAUAAGUAUAUUUACAUUAACGGGACAUAGAUAUUAUAUUCAUGUUGAUAUAUUAUGUGUUGUUGCUGUUGAUGUUGUUAAUCGUAGGAUAUAGUCAUAAAGAUGAAAAUAGUAGCGUUAACAUAAUCGUUGUUAAUAUAGGAAGUACGGGGGAAGGGGAAAAGGGAAAAGAAACACAAGGGUUCUCUACGUUACUUACGACGAACACGUUCGCACGCGGAUUAUUAAUCACGCAUUAUCGAUUUAUUUUCGCGGAUGCGUGCGUCGCAAUGUUACCAAUUUGUACCUGCGAUAUUAUCUGUCUUGACCGCACUAGCGUUGAUUAAUGUUAUUCUAGAUAUUCUGCUUUGAAUGAAGGACUCCUAAUUCGAAGAUUACUUUUAGCAUUAGCUUUUUAGAAUUCUGUGUGAUGCUUCACGCUAAAGUGGUUGAGUCUAGCGACGAGUAUCUCCGGAGAUGCUAUACGAGCUUCUCGAGAGAUUUGCCAAAUAGAUAUUUAAAGAAGACGCUCAGCAUCGAAGAUCUCUGUAACGGACGUGUUUGUCGUUCUAGAAUAAACGUGUGAAGACGCGCAGGCGUAUUAUAUUAAAAUAAGGUAUGUGUAGUUUGAAACGGCCUACAAACUAUCGUAGUGAUUUGGCUCAGCUAUAUGAUAUUGUUCUAUUGUUUUGAAAGUAUUGCAUUCGUCGUACUUGUCGAGGUUCAAAUUGUAGCGUCUAAACAUCCGCCGCUGUUACACAAUUCCUGUCGAAAUUAAUUAUAAGCAUAAUAUUAUCCGCAGCAGGCUUAUCUGAGGAUCUUUUGCUAUUUAUCUCUUUCUUUCUAUAUAUAUAUAUAUAUAUAUAUAUAUAUAUAUAUAUAUCGCGUCCAUCCUUCGAGUUCACUGUAAUGAGGAUCUCCUAACAACGAUUCUUCGUACCUAACCGUAUUCCUCGAUCUUGCGUCCUUCUUUGAUCCUCUUUGAAUCUCUUCUUUUUACUCUUAAGAGAGUUUUUCAAGUAUAUGAAGAAAUGGCGAUCGAUUAGGCUACACCGAUAUUAUGUAUGAAGAUAUUAGAAUUUUAUUGUUGCGCAGUGUUUUUGAAUUACCUAUCAGUUUUCGCAGCGACAUUAUUGCCAAUUUUCAAUCGACAAUGAAAUAGCGUAACUCGAUUUACAUAAGAUGCAACGACGAUAUUCUUAUGGAUCUAUAAAACUUUGUGUUGUUGAUCUGAGUUGGAGAACUUUUUAUUCCGAGUAAUAACUUAUGACGCUGCACGGUGGCAGUCGGUAGAGCAUCUUGAUUUAUUUUGCGUAAAAUGCGAAUGUUAAACGCACUUGAGUGCGUUAAACACAGCGCGAGUCUUGACAAUUCCGUAUCCGCUUCGUAAUCGAGAGCACGAUUAUCGAGAUUGUAAUGUGGCUACAUUGUAGAAAUUUUGCGUUGUAGAUGGUUUACUCGCUAGAUAUAGCUAUAUGAGUGUGACUAUUUAUAAUAACGAAAAAGGAGAAAAAUGCGUCAAGAAAAAAAAGGAGAAAGAUAGCGCGCGAGGAGGAAAAAAAACAAACUUAUGGAAACGAUUGUAAUUGUAACGAUUGAUAACGCGAAUGUACAAAUGCCUAACGGUAUUGUACGCACAAUAGAAUAUGUAUAUGCAGAUGUUAUCUACAUUAUGUAUCGGGAGUGUAAUUGCAUCCCGUGCAAAUGAUUUUGUCUUCCCUCUUAAGCUUACUUGCAAUAACUCGAUUUACUGUGGGAAUUUCAUUAUUCUUAGCGUUCUCGAUGAUUCUACGUUUGAUCAUCUCAUCUACGUUGACUUAUCUUUAUAAUGCAAUAUAACGAGUCUGAUUUCUCGGUUAUAUGUCAUUUCGUCAUUUUUUAAUCGGCGAUUAGUUCCGUUUGUCAUCAAUCGCGUAUUUCCGUUUUGUAAGCGAGAGAUUAUAAUAAUUUGUUGUGUUCACAUUA
Molecule: RNA transcript, 9256 nt
Organism: Cataglyphis hispanica
Lineage: Eukaryota; Metazoa; Arthropoda; Insecta; Hymenoptera; Formicidae
Gene: Plc21C
Gene name: 1-phosphatidylinositol 4,5-bisphosphate phosphodiesterase classes I and II
Exons: 19
Source: RefSeq, a predicted model, not a curated record